GCCUUGUGUCCGUUGAACGUGGUGACUCUGUAUAACUUUGGGCUGAUCGCACGGGCUCGUCCCGGCGACGUAUCCUUCAAGUGUCUGCCUUAUCAACUGUCGAUGGUAGGUUAUGCGCCUACCAUGGUCGUAACGGGUGACGGGGAAUCAGGGUUCGAUUCCGGAGAGGGAGCCUGAGAAACGGCUACCACAUCCAAGGAAGGCAGCAGGCGCGCAAAUUACCCAAUCCCGGAACGGGGAGGUAGUGACGAAAAAUAACAAUACGGGACUCUUUUGAGACCCCGUAAUUGGAAUGAGAACACUCUAAAUCCUUUAACGAUUAUCAAUUGGAGGGCAAGCCAAGUGCCAGCAGCCGCGGUAACACUUGCUCCAAUAGCGUAUAUUAAAGUUGUUGCGGUUAAAAAGCUCGUAGUUGGAUCUCAGUUCUAGUCUAGCGGUCUGCCUACCGGCAGUCACUGCUGGUUCUGAACAAACCAGUCGGUUUCCCUUGAUGAUCUUCACCGGUUGUCUCGGGUGACCGACAAGUUUACUUUGAAUAAAUUAGAGUGCUCAAAGCAGGCGUGACGCCUGAACAAUGGUGCAUGGAAUAAUGGAAUAGGACCUCGGUUCUAUUUUGUUGGUUUUCGGAACACGAGGUAAUGAUUAAGAGGGACAGACGGGGGCAUUCGUAUUGCGACGCUAGAGGUGAAAUUCUUGGACCGUCGCAAGACGAACUACUGCGAAAGCAUUUGCCAAGAAUGCUUCCAUUAAUCAAGAACGAAAGUUAGAGGUUCGAAGGCGAUCAGAUACCGCCCUAGUUCUAACCAUAAACGAUGCCAGCCAGCGAUCCGGCUGCGUUCCUCAAAUGACGCGCCGGGCAGCUUCCGGAAGCUCUACCAGGCCAGGACACAAGUAGGAUUGACAGAUUAAGAGCUCUUUCUUGAUUUUGUGGGUAGUGGUGCAUGGCCGCUCUUGGUUCGUGUAGUGAUUUGUCUGGUUAAUUCUGAUAACGGACGAGGCUCUAGCCUACUAAAUAGACGCUCGGAUCAUUCCUAGUCCGGCGUUUCUUCUUAGAGGGACUGGCGGCGUUCAGCCGCACGAGGUUGAGCAAUAGCAGGUCUGUUAUGCCCUUAGAUGUCCUGGGCCACACGCGUGAUACAUUGAAGGAAUCAGCGUGUGCUUUCCCUGUCCGACAGGACUGGGUAACCCGUUGAACCUCCUUCGUGCUGGGGAUAGGGGAUUGAAAUUGUCCCCCUUGAACGAGGAACUCCUAGUAAGUGCGAGUCAUCAUCUCGCGUUGAUUAGGUCCCUGGCCCUUGUCCACACCGCCCGUCGCUAUUACCGAUUGAAUGUCUUAGUGAGGACUUCGGAUUGGCUGUCGAUUUGGCUUUAGGGUCGAGCCGACGUGCCGAGAAGAUGUCCAAACUUGGUCAUUUAGAGGAAAUAAAAGUCGUAACAAGGUACCCGUAGGUGAACCUGCG
Molecule: ribosomal RNA, 1460 nt
Filed under: Nippononeta kantonis
Lineage: Eukaryota; Metazoa; Arthropoda; Arachnida; Araneae; Linyphiidae
Description: SSU rRNA
Rfam family: Eukaryotic small subunit ribosomal RNA
Source: RNAcentral